GCCCGCCUAGCUCAAUCGGCCAGAGCGUCAGACUUUUAAGGCGGGUGUAAAAUUCGUCAGAGUCAUCUGAAGGCUGCGAGUUCGACCCUCGCGGUGGGCU
Molecule: non-coding RNA, 100 nt
Organism: Termitomyces sp. T159_Od127
Lineage: Eukaryota; Fungi; Basidiomycota; Agaricomycetes; Agaricales; Lyophyllaceae
Source: the annotation of a GenBank genome assembly